This 253-nucleotide ribosomal RNA is filed under the name uncultured bacterium. Its description in RNAcentral is "partial 16S ribosomal RNA". It matches the Rfam family "Bacterial small subunit ribosomal RNA", at positions 524 to 776 of the family's 1533-position model. The record is from RNAcentral.
UACGGAGGGUGCAAACGUUGCUCGGAAUCAUUGGGCGUAAAGCGAACGUAGGCGGCUUGAUAAGUCGGGUGUGAAAGCCCUCGGCUCAACCGAGGAAGUGCACUCGAAACUGUCAGGCUUGAAUGUCGGAGAGGAUCGCGGAAUUCCCGGUGUAGAGGUGAAAUUCGUAGAUAUCGGGAGGAACACCAGUGGCGAAGGCGGCGAUCUGGACGAACAUUGACGCUGAAGUUCGAAAGCGUGGGGAGCAAACAGG